Molecule: long non-coding RNA, 751 nt
Filed under: Panax ginseng (ginseng)
Lineage: Eukaryota; Viridiplantae; Streptophyta; Magnoliopsida; Apiales; Araliaceae
Description: long non-coding RNA (PGIN_LNC007732)
Source: RNAcentral
AAAGAAGUGAGUAAGAGACCAAGCAAUACAUUAAAGGAAUGGCUCAAUUUUUAACCCAAGUGGGAGAGGAAUUUUUGGACAUUUGUCAACUCAAAUAAGAGGUAAAAUAGAAAGCAAAUUGGGAGCAUUUUUAGGCCACAUGGCCGGCCAAAAGAGAAGCAAUAACAAGGGGGGGAUGAAUUUAAUAAGUGUUCACUUUAGUUGUUGAACCACUUUCACCAACUCUCCAUGUGUCCAUUGGUUAUUUUGUCCAACACUUUGUUCAUUAAUCUUGCAAGCAACCACUUGGAUAUUGCUAAGGGGAAAGAAAGAGAGAAUUAGUGGGAGAGUAAGGCCAUAUGGCCGGACCAUGCUCAAGAAGAAAAGGAGAUUGGGAGAUAACAAAAUAUAUCUAUAGAUUUUCCAACACUUAGAUCAUAUUUUUCCCUUUCAUCACUUCUAUUAUUCUUGCUAGAACACAAGAAAAAGAGAGAGGGAGAGAGAAGAGGAGGCCAUGUUCGGCCAUCCUAAGAGGAGAAGGAGGAGAUUUUGAUGUUCAUACAAUCAAGAUCCAUCUACAUCUUUGAAGGAGAGAAGGAAAUCAAGUUAAGGUAUAAUAAAAAUUUCUUCUUAUGUAGUUUAUUUUCCUUGGUAGUUUGAUUUGAUUUUUGAUAACUUGAAGUUGUGAUCUUGAGGUUUAAAACCUUAGAUCUAUGUAUAUAUAAGUGUUUCAUGUUUAGAUCUAACAAUAUUGGGUGUUGAUUUUGGUUGG